This is a long non-coding RNA of Anopheles merus, 978 nucleotides long. RefSeq lists it as uncharacterized. The transcript is spliced from 3 exons. Lineage: Eukaryota; Metazoa; Arthropoda; Insecta; Diptera; Culicidae. The record is from RefSeq and is a predicted model, not a curated record.
CGGAGGCGGUGGCAAAAAGGAUAAUAAAUUGAAAUUCUGUAAAUUAUCAUUGUUCAUUGUGUCUGGGACCACGGUAAGGCAGAUGCUUAAGCUUGCAAAAGCAACCAUAAUUCCUGCAGUCGGAGAGUGAAUAAAGAAAAUGAAGCUCGAAAAGCUACCUCCAGGCAAACGGUGGCGGAUCGGAGAACGGAUACGAAUGCGAACAUAGAUUUAUUACAUCGAAUACAGUUCAAUAGCGCAUUUAUAAAUCAAUUAGGAACUGUUUAUCGAUUAAUGGUGGAGCCUUAUGUACCUACAGCCUCCAUGUGGAUACAUAAACGGCGGAAAAUGUGUACGAGUUCUUCCCAUCAUCCGUCGUAAAACCAUCACAAUAUACAUUGAGCACCAGCAGGGUGAUGUAUCGUAGUCCGUCAGCUCCACCAUCACCGUGAUGAUAAUGUUGUUGCAAAGGUCUACCAGUUCCGGUAUAGCACCAUUUGGCUGUUUGCAGGUUAUUUGAGGGAUGUGGUGUUUAUGUUUAUGACCGCUUGCCGUCAUACGGGUAGCAGAAUAGCGCCGGUAUGUUGCAACACGGAAUGGUCUCCCUUUUACGCGUCGAGAUGAAGUCUUGCCCCUGCCGUUGCAGAAGAAGAAGGAUUAUCGUAUCCUAGAACCGCACGUUUGCUCGUUUGUGCCAUACAUGAAGCGAACUGGAGCAUAUCGGUUGGGACGCGUUGGCCACAUCAAUACACAUCACGCUGUUGAAACUUUCAAACAGCUCAAUUGAAAAUUAUGAGUAGUAAGCAUAAGUCUCGAUCGAUGAACCAUGCAGCAGAUGGCUAGGCAAGACACGGACUCGGCCAGAAAAGGGCCCAGCCAUAAAGGACCCAAGUCAGAAAGGGCCAGAGGAAGUAUUGUUUUAAAAGCAACAGUACAGAAUCCCUCUUAUUUUCAUACACAUACAUGCCAAUAUACUCACACAAAUAACAAGUUAACGUA